AUGAUGAAGGCUCUUCCAAUAGUGACAGUGAUGAAGAUGAUGAUGAUGAUGACGACGAAGGCUCUUCUGAUGACGAUGAUGAUGAUGGAGAUCUUCAUCAUCCCGCCGACAACCCCGGGGCUCUUCCAACACCGAUGAUGAUGAUGACGAUGAAGGCUCUUCUUCUUCUUCUUCUUCUUCUUCUGAUGAUGAUGAUGAUGAUGAUGAUGAUGAUGAUGAAGGCUCUUCCAAUAUUGAUGAUGAUGAUGAUGAUGAUGAUGAAGAUGAAGGCUCUUCCAAUGACGAUGAUGAAGAUGAUGAAGAUGAUGAUGAAGAUGAUUAUGAU
This 325-nucleotide long non-coding RNA is filed under the name Anas platyrhynchos platyrhynchos (common mallard). RNAcentral's name for it is "lncRNA (ENSAPLG00000020700.1)". The record is from RNAcentral. Lineage: Eukaryota; Metazoa; Chordata; Aves; Anseriformes; Anatidae.